UGGACAGAUGUCUUCUGGAACCUGAGCAGCUGUCUGUGGCUGGGGCAGUGGGCUUGCUGGGGGACCACCACCUGCCGUGGAAGCUAAGGAAGGGGGUCCCAGGAGCAAGGUGCCAGGGCUGCAUGGACCUGUGUGCCCCUGGGUGCUCCAGGCUCAGUGCCAGCUCCUGCCACACGACGGCAGCGGCUUCUCUUCCCCAGUCACUCAGGAGCAGCCGUGAGAGCAGAGGAGCGAUCAGGGCAGGAUUGGCUGUGCAGAGCACCUGCUGCCUCCCCCAGAGCCUCCACCCCAGUUCCUCUCCCAGGCCUGGUGCCCCCACUCGGAGUGCAGAAACUAGCACUGGUGACAGGUUCCAGGUGCCAGCUACUGCCCUGGGCAAUUCCCACGUGGUGUCACAUGGCCCCCUGCACAAGCUUUCCAGCCAGGCAGUGACCACUGUUCUGCCAUUUCACCAAAAGCUGAGUUGACCUCAGGGCUGGGACAGGAAGGCAAACAGCCUGGAGAGUGUGCCCAGAGCUCAGCGGGAGGCCGAGGGCCCUGGCACACCACCUGCAGCCCUCAUGGGCCUCAGCAAGGUGGGCCCCAGCCAGGUUCUCUAGGCCUGGGCAGGGCUCCCCAUGCUGCUUCCCUGUGCCCAAGGACCCGGGGCCAUUUCAGCUGACUUUUGGUUUUUAUAGACUGAAUCCUCUUAACCACGUGGAGUUUAUCAUUUGUAAGCCAUAAUAGAUUAGCUUCUAAUUUUAUUUUUACAUUUUGAAUGGUUAGUCGAUCGGCUCAACAUCAUUUAUGAGUAAGUUAUUUCUUUGCCAACCUGAUUUGAAAUACCAGAACAGCCACAAUCUAAACUAUAACUACUGCAAACUCAACUCAGUUUUCAAAAUUUAUUUUUUGAUUGGUCUCCUUCUCUCUCGGUACCAGUACCAUAUUGUUUGGUCUCUUUAGUUAUUCUUGUUAUUUUAAUUUGUGUUUAUGUAACCACUUUUCCAAACGGACUUAUUUAUUUAAGAGGCAGAAUGAUGGGGUGAGGUGGGGUGGGUGAGAAAGAGAGAGGAAUCUCUUCCGUCUGCUACUUCACAGCAGCCUGGGCUGGCCAGGCCAAAGCCAGGAGCCGGAACCCCAGCCUGGCUUCCCUCACGGGUGGCAGGAGUCCGAGCACCCGAGCCACCCUCUGCUGCUUUCCCGGGCGCAUGAGCAGGGAGCUGGAUCAGCAGCAGAGUGGCACAGCCGGGACUUGAACUGGUGCUCAUACAUAGGACGCAUUUACAUAUGCCAUGAAGUGUCCCCUUCCCAAAUCCAUGCACCCCCUGGAACAACUCCAGGGGUUCCAACAGAAAUGCCUCUUCCCAGGGCAUGCCUCUGUCACUUCCCAGGCCCAAGCAACCAGAUGCCAUGGAGUUCUUCUGCCUGUCCUGGGAUAAAUGGAGUCGCAAGCGCAAGGGCCAGUCUGGGACCAAGGCCUUGAACAGGACGAAGCAGAUGUCCCCAGAGCCAACUUCUAAUACUCACAUCUGAGUGGUUUGUUCUAUGCCAGGAGCCACGCUCAUCAUUAUUCUCUGCUGAUUUCCUCCUAAUAAUCUUAUCAGGAGAAGAUAAGAAAAGGAGGUGUACUGAGGCUAAGAGUGUAACUGGGCGGUGGACAGCUUGCUGCACACGGCAGGACAGGAAUUCCACUUCUGGGGUUCAGACUCUGAAGCUCAACAAUGUGAUUACUCUGCCCAUUGUCCAAAAGCAGGACAUGAAAAGACAUCAGGGACACUUGAUGAGCCAUGUUUAGUCUACUAGCAAAUACAUUCCAUUUAAUGGAUGUAGGAAGAGAUGUAUUUCUUGCAUCAAAGCCACAGUUCCACAGGUAUUUCUGCUCAGGAAAAGAGCAGUUUUUUUUUUUUUUUUUUCAAGGAAAAGAUGAGCCCAUUUAAGUAAAUGUGUUAUGGUUUGUCUUCAGCUGGACUGGGGCAGAGAACAUUGACAACCUAGGCCAUGAAUGCUGCUGUUCUGGUGCCACUGGGUCCCAUGCUCACCCCAUGGCCGCGGCAUCUGCAGGUGUGCUGAGUGGAACUGAUUCCAAACAGGCAAUCAGGCGUCAUACCUUGCUUCCUCCAGUCCCCUACAUGCUCAACUUUGCCCUUAAGUAGAAACGCAGGUGCAAAGCCAGCCCUGGGGCCUUUCUGGGGUGUGAUGCUCUCCUUCACAUGCAAGCCAAGCUCUGGGUGCCUUCUGGAUUGUAGCCUCCUCACGGCUUCCAUGACAGUCAGGGGCCCAAGGCUCCCACAGCAAUCCCUCGGCCAUCGCAGGCCCACACAGCCCCGGAGAAAAUACUCCUGGUUCCCUGCGUAGCUGGAACUCGCCAGGACUGGGAGGCAGAGGCUGGAACUCCCGCGUGGGUUUGGCAGGACCCCUGCCACCAGGGGCCCCAGCUGUCCAUGAGGUACCAGCCUUCCACAGCCCUCCUGAGGCCUCCCUGGCCCCUCUCACCUUAGGACAGGGGACAGAGUCAUCAGGAUUGUAGAAUGGUGGUGCCACAUGCAGCACCAGGCCCCACACCAGGGAGACGCUUCAAACGUGUCCUCACACGCAUUCCUGCAAUGCUCGGCCAGAGGUCCAGAUCUUCCCCAGCUCGUCAGCUCAGUGCCUUGCCCUACAUCCUCUGACUCCGGAGCCUGGGUUUGCAGGGCACAGCCCAGAUGCAGAGGGCCGUGAGCCCUUCCUGUGCCCACCUCUUCCCUGGGGAACAGGGACCACCUGGCCUGUCCCAGCCAGAGCAGGCAAUGACAGUGCUACCUACUGUCCCAGCUCUCCAGGAACACAUGGGGCCCACAUGGCUGGGUGCACUUGUACUUCUGAGAACGCCGAGGGGAGCGAAGGCUGGAGUCGGAGGAGGUCAUGUGCAGAGCGCUCUCUGCACCUCCAGGGAACGGAUCAGAGGGACAGAUCCCCAAGCAAUGGCAUUCGGGAAGCGGGGCACGGAGAAGGCGAGGGCACAGACGUCCUCACAGGCACAGCCACGGCCGUGCGCCUCAUGAGCACAGAGAUUCAGACUCGACACCUGCAGCCCCGCAGCAGGCAGAUCCCGGUUCACGUGCAAGUUGGUUUCCCAUGGGGAAGUGGGAGACCUACACCCUCCACAUCUGUGCCUCUGGUGGGCAGGGGCUGUGUUUGUUCACCAAAAGUGCCCAGCGUUUGCCACGGCUGCCUGGCUGGAGCACAGCCCGGUGCCUCUGGGCACGAACCGCACGCUGGGUCCAUCAGAGGCAGGAUCUUCCUCUCGCCUGCUCCCAGCAUCCCCCUCCCUCCCAGAGAGCACUCCUGCGUGUCCCUAUGCUAGCCUCUCUCCCAGCAGGGCCAUGCUAAAGCUCCUGGGGACCCGUGGCAUCGGGCACGUUGCCCAGCACCUCUCCCGCCUGUCUCUGCUUCCUGCCAGCACCAAGGACAUGUUUCCUUCUCCCUGCCGGCCACUCAGCCAGCGGAGCUGCCUGCCAGCCCUCAGGAAAGGAAGAAGGAGGAUUGCAGGAGAGUGCCCCUACCUCGGCGGUGCCUGGAGCGGCCCCUCUCCUCUCUCUCUGUCUCUCCCACUCGCUGCCAUCCAGAAUGGCCCCGGCUCCGACAGGACCCACUGGAGGGCGAUUUCUGCAAAUUAAUAGCAGCUGGAAAAAAAGUGAAUCAAUCAGCCAAUGAAAACCAUUACUGGGCUUCGUCCUCAAGGUCAUCGGCACCAUGUGGAGUUGAGGGACAUGAGGGAACGCACAGGGUUUCAGAGGAGCUGGGGCGUGAACACACAGCUCGCAAGGAGCCCUCUCAAUCAGCUCCCCUUGGGCCCUCAGCCAGAAGACACCAAGCCACGCAGCUCCUUGGAAGCAGGGCAGGUGGGCCCAGGUGACCUGGCCACUCCUGGGACUGACCCUGGGGACAGCCACUUAGAGAGCUGCACGACCUCUGGGGAGUCUAUGGACUCUGUCUGGGAGAGGCCAAAGGGAGUGGGGCGCAGGUCACCCUGGCGGGGGACCAGGGACAGGGAGGGCGAGGCCUGGAUUCCAGAGCACCCUCUGAGACCCACCAAGCACUGGGACAAUGAUGAGGCCACUGCUGCUGCUGCUGCUGCUGGGGUGGCCGUGUGGCAGAGCAGCUAAGAUGCUGUGUCCCAUAUGGGACAGGGUGCCGGGCUCCAAGUCCCCAUUCCAGCUUCCUGCCAAUGCAGAGCCAGAGACAGCUCAAAGAGCUGGGCCCCUGCCAGCCACAUGGAAGCCAGGCUUUAGUUCCCAGCCCCUGGCUUCAGCCCAGUGUGGUGGAGGGCAUUUGAGGAGUGCAAGGGAGGCCUCGCUGCCUCUGACUCUCAGACCACAUACUUACGAGUCCUCACUCUAGGCCAGCGCUGUUCUCAAACCUUUGUAAGCCUCACUCGGGGCUGCACGGAAAGCACUAUUACCCCACCACAAUCCAGCUUCUGUGGGAGGAAGGGAGCUUGUGCAGAGACGAGGAACUGCCUGAGGGCCAGGGCCAGGCAUCCUCGAAGCUGGCCGAGCGAUGCAGACCCACGCCAGCCUCCGGCCUGUGUGCCGGAAGGAAAACGCGGAGCGCAGCCACGUGCCCGGAGAGGGGGGAGGAAGCGUCGCGGGCGGGCCUUGGCUGCACACACUCAUGCACACGCAGCCGUCCCCGUGCGGCUGCCCGGGAAGGGCCAGGUGCUGCUCCCAGCGCGAGAGCGAGGAGUCGCAUGGACGUCAGACGCGGAGCCUACAGGCAGGCAAGCAGACCCAGACUACCUAGCAAAGUGUGCUUCCAGUCAAGAACCAGGAGAGAUGUAGAAGAGGAAAACGGGUCUCCAGCCGCUGGCUGCUCUGUGAGCACGGCCCGUGCACAGGUGCAGGAGACAGGAGAUCUUCCAUGCUUUCUGCUCUGUUGAUGGCGGAGGCAAAACCUCCGUAAAUUUCCCAUCUGCCCACAGCCAUAGCUUUUCAGACUCCAUCUCUGCGGGGCUGCUCUAGAGCAAGCGCGGAGAAGGGAGAGCGAGGGCUUUGGGCUCAGGCCUCUCUGCUGGUCCACUGUGCCUUCCUGCAACGCGCUCACUGCAGCCCGCGGUCUCAUCAUCGAAGCGGAUUCCGGGCUAUCGCCACGGCAUCCGCCCAGCUGGGAGCAGCGCCCUUCUCUGCUGCUGCCCUCGCGGUCUCCUCCUCCCUCGGGAACGGUGGACAUCCCGCCCCUCCCAGCGCUCCCACUGGUGGCCGCGUGGGCAGGGCUCUGGUCGUUCGGUGGCUGGCUCCUUGGGAAGCCCCGUAGACUCUCGAGCGCGCCCCACAGGGUAAUCAGACAAGUGGAACAGCCUAGCUGUUAAGACAGCAGCGGGGACACCUGUGUCCUGUACUGCAGAACCGCGGUUUGAUUCCUGAUCCAGCUUCCUGCUAACGCAGGCCCUGGGAGGCAGCAGGUGAUGGCUUACACAGUUGGGUCCCCCUCACCCCAGCAGGAAGCCUGGACUGAGUUCCUGCCUUUAGUCCCUGGCCUGAGACUGCUGCAGGUACUUGGGGCAUGAACAACUGAAUGGGAGCAUUCUCCCUCUCCCUCACUCCCCUCUCCCAGAUAAAUAAAUAAAUAAAUAAAUAAAUAGAAUUUUUCAAAUGCGGGGCUGCCAUUGU
This is a non-coding RNA of Oryctolagus cuniculus (rabbit), 5627 nucleotides long. Lineage: Eukaryota; Metazoa; Chordata; Mammalia; Lagomorpha; Leporidae. The record is from RefSeq and is a predicted model, not a curated record.